Molecule: ribosomal RNA, 506 nt
Filed under: Colletotrichum gloeosporioides
Lineage: Eukaryota; Fungi; Ascomycota; Sordariomycetes; Glomerellales; Glomerellaceae
Description: eukaryotic LSU rRNA
Rfam family: 5.8S ribosomal RNA (bases 132-285)
Source: RNAcentral
AUGUUGCUUCGGCGGGUAGGGUCUCCGCGACCCUCCCGGCCUCCCGCCUCCGGGCGGGUCGGCGCCCGCCGGAGGAUAACCAAACUCUGAUUUAACGACGUUUCUUCUGAGUGGUACAAGCAAAUAAUCAAAACUUUUAACAACGGAUCUCUUGGUUCUGGCAUCGAUGAAGAACGCAGCGAAAUGCGAUAAGUAAUGUGAAUUGCAGAAUUCAGUGAAUCAUCGAAUCUUUGAACGCACAUUGCGCCCGCCAGCAUUCUGGCGGGCAUGCCUGUUCGAGCGUCAUUUCAACCCUCAAGCUCUGCUUGGUGUUGGGGCCCUACAGCUGAUGUAGGCCCUCAAAGGUAGUGGCGGACCCUCCCGGAGCCUCCUUUGCGUAGUAACUUUACGUCUCGCACUGGGAUCCGGAGGGACUCUUGCCGUAAAACCCCCCAAUUUUCCAAAGGUUGACCUCGGAUCAGGUAGGAAUACCCGCUGAACUUAAGCAUAUCAAUAAGGCGGAGGAA